Molecule: long non-coding RNA, 260 nt
Filed under: Mytilus galloprovincialis (Mediterranean mussel)
Lineage: Eukaryota; Metazoa; Mollusca; Bivalvia; Mytilida; Mytilidae
Source: RNAcentral
UGGAUUGAAACCAAACAUAGUAUGAAUGCUCCUUAUGAGAUGCUAAACAAGUGUUGUUACUUUGUAGCCGAUCCAUUAUCCAAGAUGGCCGCCAGGGGGGACUUAGUAUAACAUGGGAACUUAUAGGAAAUACAUAUAAAUGUCUUCUUUUAGAGAACCAUUGAAUAAAAUGAAACCAAACAUAGCAUGAAUGUUCCUUAUGAGAUGCUGACCAAGUGUUGUUACUUUGUAGCCGAUCCAUCAUCCAAGAUGGCCGCCAG